RNAcentral lists this transfer RNA (69 nucleotides) under Manduca quinquemaculata (tomato hornworm). Its description in RNAcentral is "tRNA-Cys". Lineage: Eukaryota; Metazoa; Arthropoda; Insecta; Lepidoptera; Sphingidae. The record is from RNAcentral.
AGUCUUAUAUUCAUUUAAUAAUGAUAUAAAAUUGCAAAUUUUAAGGAGUAAAUUAAUUUACUAAGGCUU